CCCUACGGGGGGCAGCAGUAGGGAAUUUUCGUCAAUGGGCGCAAGCCUGAACGAGCAAUGCCGCGUGAACGAGGAAGGUCUUCGGAUCGUAAAGUUCUGUUGAAGGGGAAAAAGAGCGGAGAGAGGAAAUGGUCUCCGAUUGAUAUUACCCUUCGAGGAAGUCACGGCUAACUACGUGCCAGCAGCCGCGGUAAUACGUAGGUGGCGAGCGUUAUCCGGAAUGAUUGGGCGUAAAGGGAGCGCAGACGGCAAGGCAAGUCUGAUGUGAAAGUCCGAGGCUCAACCUCGGGACUGCAUUGGAAACU
Molecule: ribosomal RNA, 305 nt
Filed under: uncultured bacterium
Lineage: Bacteria
Description: bacterial SSU rRNA
Rfam family: Bacterial small subunit ribosomal RNA
Source: RNAcentral